Molecule: long non-coding RNA, 1003 nt
Filed under: Lepeophtheirus salmonis (salmon louse)
Lineage: Eukaryota; Metazoa; Arthropoda; Copepoda; Siphonostomatoida; Caligidae
Description: uncharacterized LOC121125357
Source: RNAcentral
GAUUUUUGAACUGGUCAUUGUGGUUUUGCACGGAGUUAAUUUUUAUUUAUGAAAUGUUCAAAACAAACAUUGAGUGGAACAAAUUGCAAUUACAAUGGAGCAUAAACAAUAGACAUACAAGUCAUUUGACAUGCUUCGUAACUUAAAUAAAAGGGUCAACCUAACGAUGAAGAUGUCAGAGUAAUUCAAGAGGAAGAAGUUGCAUCGAUCGAAAGGCUGGAGGAAGUUCGCUUAGAAGAAUUGAGAGGCCGCUCCUGUCCCAACGUCAAAAAUAACUCCGUCUUCAGUUAUGUCAACAGCUCUUGAAUGAUCUUAAGCACAACAGCAGCUGGGUAUUUUUUCUAUGAUGAAGAGACCUUUACCGUUGACUGCGUCUACAACAAGCAAAAUGAUUGGGGUGUAUGCUUUUGGAAAAGUUAACAACAGCAUUAGGACAGUCACCCAGACCAAACAUCCGGCCUGUUUCAUGAUGUUAGGAGUUGUGACAUCAACUGUAGAAAAAAUACCUCCAAUUUGGUUUCCUGUUGGAUACCGGUUACCCGUGGGCGACUUAUUGAUGGCAUUGAAGGAAAAUGUGGUCCCAUCGAUUACAAAGACAAUAAUGAAGUCCAACAAGGUCGCAUACGUAUUUGAGCACGACGAAGCUCUGUGCCCAUACUGCUAAUAUUGCACAAGAGUUGAUGGGUAGCAACAUGAACUUCUUGUCCUUCUUUGGCCCCUUCAGAGCCCAGAUCCGAAUCCACUGGAUUACACCAUGUGGUUGCAAAUUGAGAAGAAGGCCUGCAAAGCUCACCUCCUAAAUAUUGAUGCCCUGAAGACCUCCGUUAACUGGAAGUGGAGGAUCAUGAAAAAGGACUAAGCAGCUAAUGUGUGCAAGGGUUCUGGAUGCAGUUGGAGGCUGUCAUUGAGGCUGAUGGUGGCCAGAUUCAUAAUUAAUGUGUAUUGUUAUAGUAAAAAAAUAUUAGAAAAUAAAAUUUUUUAUGUACUAAAUCAUCCUGAUCAA